UGGCUCAUGGGAGGAAGGUGGUGUGUAGAGCGGCUUCUGUGCUCGUCCACGGAUCGAAGCAGCAGCUGAGAAAGAGGAUGGCAAUAAGAACACUCUGGACAACUGAGAAUAACAAGCAACGUUGAAAAGGAAAUCAAAACGUUGAUCCAGAAAUCAAAAUAUAUUCAAUUUCCUUCAGAAAACCACCCAAUUUUCCUUCUCCAGCAGCUGAUAGACAAAAGAGAGAAAUCUAACAUGAGAUUUUGAGCGGGAAAAAGGAGAGUAUACGAAAGCAACUCAAGGAUACAUUGCAUGAAAGAUCAAGGAAUAUUAUUUUUCAUUCAGAAAAAGACUGAAAUAUCUGGAAGUUAGGGGGGAGGAAAAGGUCUUAUUGGGCACAGUGCAUAGGGCAAACAAUGUUGCAGGCCUUGCUCUGGGAAGAAACGAACAGCUUGAAUCAAAGCACUACUGAAUAAGGGAUCAUCCAUACUUUUGACCUCAAGAAUAUCAGUUGUAGAAAAGCUCCAUAGAUCUGCUUAUUGUAGGAAAAGCACAGAUUGCAAAUCAUAGCUGAUUAAGCAAGAUCUAAACUGGAGAAAAGCCAUAUAAAUUAUCUGAAUAUGACAAAAGAUUUAGUCAGAACAGCUCCCUUGUGGUUCAUGGAACAACCCACAUAGGGGAGAAGCCAUACGAGUGCUUCCGAUGUGGUGAAUAUUUUAGUGAGCAUGGCAACAUGGUGAUACAUCACAGGACACCUAUCACAUAAGAGUGUCCAGAUGGUGUGAAAGUUUCAUUGGAAAUUACCACCUCACAAGACAACACAAGAGAGAAACCCUUUGAAUGCCCUAUCUGUGGGAAAGGUUUUGGUCUGAAUUGCCACUCAUGAGAUACCAGAGGACUCACACGGG
Molecule: non-coding RNA, 887 nt
Organism: Notechis scutatus (mainland tiger snake)
Lineage: Eukaryota; Metazoa; Chordata; Lepidosauria; Squamata; Elapidae
Source: RefSeq, a predicted model, not a curated record